AUUGAACGCUGGCGGCAGGCUUAACACAUGCAAGUCGAGCGGAGAGAGGUAGCUUGCUACCGAUCUUAGCGGCGGACGGGUGAGUAAUGCUUAGGAAUCUGCCUAUUAGUGGGGGACAACAUUUCGAAAGGAAUGCUAAUACCGCAUACGUCCUACGGGAGAAAGCAGGGGAUCUUCGGACCUUGCGCUAAUAGAUGAGCCUAAGUCGGAUUAGCUAGUUGGUGGGGUAAAGGCCUACCAAGGCGACGAUCUGUAGCGGGUCUGAGAGGAUGGUCCGCCACACUGGGACUGAGACACGGCCCAGACUCCUACGGGAGGCAGCAGUGGGGAAUAUUGGACAAUGGGCGCAAGCCUGAUCCAGCCAUGCCGCGUGUGUGAAGAAGGCCUUAUGGUUGUAAAGCACUUUAAGCGAGGAGGAGGCUACUUUAGUUAAUACCUAGAGAUAGUGGACGUUACUCGCAGAAUAAGCACCGGCUAACUCUGUGCCAGCCGCCGCAGUAA
This 501-nucleotide ribosomal RNA is filed under the name uncultured bacterium. Its description in RNAcentral is "partial 16S ribosomal RNA". It matches the Rfam family "Bacterial small subunit ribosomal RNA", at positions 30 to 523 of the family's 1533-position model. The record is from RNAcentral.